RNAcentral lists this ribosomal RNA (641 nucleotides) under uncultured Actinomycetes bacterium. RNAcentral's name for it is "bacterial SSU rRNA". It matches the Rfam family "Bacterial small subunit ribosomal RNA", at positions 232 to 887 of the family's 1533-position model. The record is from RNAcentral. Lineage: Bacteria; Bacillati; Actinomycetota; Actinomycetes.
CGCGGCCUAUCAGCUUGUUGGUGAGGUAACGGCUCACCAAGGCGACGACGGGUAGCCGGCCUGAGAGGGUGACCGGCCACACUGGGACUGAGACACGGCCCAGACUCCUACGGGAGGCAGCAGUAGGGAAUAUUGCACAAUGGGCGAAAGCCUGAUGCAGCAACGCCGCGUGCGGGAAGAAGGCCCUAGGGUUGUAAACCGCUUUCAGCAGGGAAGAAAAUGACGGUACCUGCAGAAGAAGGUGCGGCCAACUACGUGCCAGCAGCCGCGGUGACACGUAGGCACCAAGCGUUGUCCGGAUUUAUUGGGCGUAAAGAGCUCGUAGGCGGUUCAGUAAGUCGGGUGUGAAAACUCUGGGCUCAACCCAGAGACGCCACUCGAUACUGCUGUGACUCGAGUGCGGUAGGGGAGCGGGGAAUUCCUAGUGUAGCGGUGAAAUGCGCAGAUAUUAGGAGGAACACCAGUGGCGAAGGCGCCGCUCUGGGCCGUAACUGACGCUGAGGAGCGAAAGCGUGGGUAGCAAACAGGAUUAGAUACCCUGGUAGUCCACGCCGUAAACGUUGGGCACUAGGUGUGGGUCUCAACCAACGAGAUCCGCGCCGUCGCUAACGCAUUAAGUGCCCCGCCUGGGGAGUACAAUC